GUACACGCUGUGACUAGCAUAUCAAUAAGCGGAGGAAAAGAAACUAACAAGGAUUCCCCUAGUAACGGCGAGUGAAGCGGGAAGAGCUCAAAUUUGAAAUCUUAAAGGGUUUCCCUUUACGAAUUGUAGUUUAAAGAAGUGUUUUCUGUUGAGGUUUUGGUAAAAGUUCUUUGGAAUAGGACAUCAUAGAGGGUGAGAAUCCCGUAUUUGACCUUUACUUUCAACUUUGUGAUACACUUUCAAAGAGUCGGAUUGUUUGGGAAUGCAGUCCAAGAUGGGUAGGUAAAUUUCAUCUAAAGCUAAAUAUUGGCGAGAGACCGAUAGCGAACAAGUACCGUGAGGGAAAGAUGAAAAGAACUUUGAAAAGAGAGUUAAACAGUACGUGAAAUUGUCAAAAGGGAAGCGUUUGACACCAGUGUUGUUUUUCUGAAAAUCAAUUAAAGAACUGUUUAUGCUAAGUUGUUUAGACUUUAUCAGCUAUCUGUUUAGUUUUGAGCUUUUCUUUAAUGCACUUUUCAGUUAACAAGUCAACAUCAAUCUCUUUUGCUGUGAAAAAAGCUUGAGGAAGGUGGCUUGAGAUUCGUCUUAAGUGUUUAUAGCCUCUUGCCUAUGCAGUCGGAGAGAUUGAGGUCUGCAGCGUAGAUCCUUCGGGGCUAAAUGCAUUUGUGCUAAGUUAUAGCAUUUUAUAGACAACUUGUUGACUAUGAUUUGUCUUGUAGCUUACUCGCUUAUGUUAUUUUACCUACGCUUAGGAUGUUGACGCGCGUGUGUGCGUG
Molecule: ribosomal RNA, 776 nt
Filed under: uncultured Neocallimastigales
Lineage: Eukaryota; Fungi; Neocallimastigomycota; Neocallimastigomycetes; Neocallimastigales
Description: partial large subunit ribosomal RNA
Rfam family: Eukaryotic large subunit ribosomal RNA
Source: RNAcentral